Molecule: ribosomal RNA, 274 nt
Filed under: uncultured bacterium
Lineage: Bacteria
Description: partial 16S ribosomal RNA
Rfam family: Bacterial small subunit ribosomal RNA
Source: RNAcentral
AUACGGAGGGUGCAAGCGUUGUUCGGAAUCACUGGGCGUAAAGGGCGCGCAGGCGGUUUGGUAAGUCAGAUGUGAAAGCCCAUGGCUCAACCAUGGAAGUGCAUUUGAAACUGUCAGACUUGAGUACUAGUGGGGAAAGUGGAAUUCCCGGUGUAGAGGUGAAAUUCGUAGAUAUCGGGAGGAAUACCGGUGGCGAAGGCGACUUUCUGGCUAGAUACUGACGCUGAGGCGCGAAAGCGUGGGGAGCAAACAGGAUUAGAAACCCUAGUAGUCC